UCAACUGGUUGUUGGGUCUUCACUGACUCAGUAACGAAGCUAACGCGUGAAGUUGACCGCCUGGGGAGUACGGCCGCAAGGUUGAAACUCAAAGGAGUUGACGGGGACCCGCACAAGCGGUGGAUGAUGUGGUUUAAUUCGAUGCAACGCGAAAAACCUUACCCACCUUUGACAUGUACGGAAUCCUUUAGAGAUAGAGGAGUGCUCGAAAGAGAGCCGUAACACAGGUGCUGCAUGGCUGUCGUCAGCUCGUGUCGUGAGAUGUCGGGUUAAGUCCCGCAACGAGCGCAACCCUUGCCAUUAGUUGCUACGAAAGGGCACUCUAAUGGGACUGCCGGUGACAAACCGGAGGAAGGUGGGGAUGACGUCAAGUCCUCAUGGCCCUUAUAGGUGGGGCUACACACGUCAUACAAUGGCUGGUACAGAGGGUUGCCAACCCGCGAGGGGGAGCCAAUCCCACAAAGCCAGUCGUAGUCCAGAUCGCAGUCUGCAACUCGACUGCGUGAAGUCGGAAUCGCUAGUAAUCGCGGAUCAGAAUGUCGCGGUGAAUACGUUCCCGGGUCUUGUACACACCGCCCGUCACACCAUGGGAGCGGGUUCUGCCAGAAGUAGUUAGCCUAACCGCAAGGAGGGCGAUUACCACGGCAGGG
Molecule: ribosomal RNA, 650 nt
Filed under: uncultured Acidovorax sp.
Lineage: Bacteria; Pseudomonadati; Pseudomonadota; Betaproteobacteria; Burkholderiales; Comamonadaceae
Description: bacterial SSU rRNA
Rfam family: Bacterial small subunit ribosomal RNA
Source: RNAcentral